Molecule: long non-coding RNA, 975 nt
Filed under: Triticum aestivum (bread wheat)
Lineage: Eukaryota; Viridiplantae; Streptophyta; Magnoliopsida; Poales; Poaceae
Description: long non-coding RNA (TAES_LNC000754)
Source: RNAcentral
CUUCCUGGAUGGCAAAGAGAUGAACCAGGUGUUUAAAGGAGAAAAACUACAAAAGAAGGUAACCAUGGAUUGUAUUUUCUCCAAAAAUUUAAAGUAGAAAUGUAACACUGUGUACAAUUAUCUUCUCUUAGUAUUGGGCAUUGGAGUUUGUCAAGUAGGGUACACAUUCAUGUGCCCUAUACAUCGUAAACCAGCAUUUUAAAGUAUAGAUGGAUGUAUGCAGAAGCUCAAGACAACAAGUAUGCAUAUAUAUACAGCCUUCGCAAAUAAUACGGAAGAUUAUGUGGUUUUCCUACCUGUGAAAGGGAAUUAACUUCGUUUCCUUCGUGCAACCCAUGCAAUUUUCUCUAUUUUUUACAUGUACUGUUUAAUAUUUUCGUUUUGAAGAUCUGUCUUCACUCUUCACACAUUUUCAUUUGUUUAUGUUAUGCAGAAGAGGAAUGAUCCCAGUGGUCAGGCAAGUGGUAUGAACCCCAACUAAAUAUACAACUUUGAUUGCUUGAGUUCACACAUUCCUGCAAUUUUGUAUUGCAAUUACCUCAUAUAGACACACAAUUUACCAAUUCCAUUGUUUUAUAUUGUGAUACUAAAUUUUAAACAUUUUGUUUAAUUGAAAGUGCUUCCAUAUUCUAGAGCAUUGUAUUACUAGCUUCAACUAACCCGAUAUUUGUAAAGCAGGUGCAAGUAAAUCUAGAAGAGGAAGGAAGGCUGCUGAUACUAGGACAAGGGCUUUGACGCUUGAAAAACCAUUCCACUAUGUGCCCGAGAAGCUCCCAGUACGUUUCAUAUAACCUCUGAAAUAUUCAUGAGACGAAUAAUAGCAGUUUGUUUAGUACUAGUAGUCUAGCUACACACUGCAAUAUGUAUCUUGGUGCGUCGCCUGAGAAUAAUCUGAACCUCAUGGAGGAACCUGCCUGUUUCGAUGAUUUUUUUAUGUGCUAUGUAAGCUUGACAGUUACACACCCGAGAUUAUGC